Molecule: ribosomal RNA, 424 nt
Filed under: uncultured Peptococcus sp.
Lineage: Bacteria; Bacillati; Bacillota; Clostridia; Eubacteriales; Peptococcaceae
Description: bacterial SSU rRNA
Rfam family: Bacterial small subunit ribosomal RNA
Source: RNAcentral
UGGGGGAAUCUUCCGCAAUGGGCGAAAGCCUGACGGAGCAAUGCCGCGUGAGUGAAGAAGGCCUUCGGGUUGUAAAGCUCUAUCGUAAUCGAAGAGAGCUUGUGAUAGUAACUGAUCAUGAGAGGACGGUAGAUUACAAGGAAGCCCCGGCUAACUAUGUGCCAGCAGCCGCGGUAAAACAUAGGGGGCAAGCGUUGUCCGGAAUCACUGGGCGUAAAAGGGCGCGUAGGUGGUUUGUUAAGUCAGAUGUGAAAUGUAGGGGCUCAACCCCUAACGUGCAUCUGAUACUGGCAGACUUGAGUGCGGAAGAGGCAAGUGGAAUUCCUAGUGUAGCGGUGAAAUGCUUAGAUAUCACGAAGAACUCCGAUUGCGAAGGCAGCUCACUGGGGCGCAACUGACGCUGAAGCUCGAAAGCGCGGGUAUC